GGCGAGGUAGCCAAGCGGUCUAAGGCGCCAGACUAAGGCUUCUGGAAGAUUCUGAGCGAUGAAAUCUGGUUCUUCGGAGCGUGGGUUCGAAUCCCACCCUCGUCA
Non-coding RNA from Ceratobasidium sp. 392, 105 nucleotides. The record is from the annotation of a GenBank genome assembly. NCBI's taxonomy places the organism in Eukaryota, Fungi, Basidiomycota, Agaricomycetes, Cantharellales, Ceratobasidiaceae.